GUACUCUGUAAGGGACAUCAGCGAGAGAGUCAGACAGAACAGCCAGCGCCGGUGCGACGGUAAGUACAGCUUAGUGGUAGGAAUAGACGAGCAGUUUUGGGCUGCAUGGCCUGUUCUCGUGUAACAUUAUGUUAUGCUGUGCUGUGCUGUGCUGUGCUGUGUUGUGUUGUGUUGUGUUGUGUUGUGUUGUGUUGUGUUGUGCUGUGCUGUGCUGUGCUGUGCUGUGCUGUGCUGUGUUGUGUUGUGUUGUGUUGUGUUGUGUUGUGCUGUGCUGUGCUGUGCUGUGCUGUGCUGUGCUGUGCUGUGCUAUGCUAUGCUAUGCUAUCUUAUGAUAACUCCCCAAGCACACGCAUGGAACAAUCAACGUGUAUCCCAGAGCGCAUCUAUUGGCCACGGGAGGCCGGCUGUCCUCCGUCACUAUGCGACUUAGGGAACCUACGACAGCUCGUGAGCGCGUGUUCUGUAGACGUUGCAGAGAUUAUUGCGGCCCGUUUCUACACCAGCAGACGAGGCAAAGUUGGCUUUGCGGGAAAACACAAUGAUGCACAGCUGGAUCUGGACAGAAGCGGAACGGUGUGAUUUUGGGCAUCAUCACCCGCAGCUGUUUCGAGUGGCGCCUUCUAACCAUAAGUGACAGUUUUGGGAAACCAACCCUGAAAAGAGUCACAAAAAAAAAAUGUAGUGCCGUUUGAAAAGUAUAAAUGUUAUAUUGGUUAUUUGUGCUAAAAAUAGCGGGGGACCAGUUUGGGCAGCAUCUAUUAAUGAGACUUAACAAACUGCUUGAGAAUCCAGAAUUGUAUUGUUUGGCACAGUAACGGAAUAGAAAUGCAGCAGCUACUACAGAGCUAAUCAGACUUAAAUCUCAGACAGAGGAAGAAUUGAUGAUUUCCAAUUAAAAUGUCGAGCAUGCGGACAUCAAUGUCCCGCAUUGAUUCAUCGAGUCACCUCCACUGCAGACGGGGAACGUGGGACACCGGCACCUCGAUGCAGGUGAUCGCUGAAGGUGUUAAGAAUUAGGGAAACGGGGGAUGUGGAAGGUGUUCCGCUUUUUUUUGGAGGAAUAUCCCGUUGUGACGGGGAAGACGGGCUUCCUGUUCUUGACCUUCCAUCAGCUGCUCUUUUGUCAAAAGCCUCCAUUUUGAAAAAAAUGAAACCGAAGCACAGCACAACCGUGUUCUCUUCCUGUCAGUGUUGUUGAUAUUAAUUGAAUGACCGGGUGUGCCAUUUUUAAAAGGGCUAAAAUCAUGUUAUGUUACAUUGAUUGACCACUGAACUGACGAUAAAACAAGGCAGAGAGAAUCAAGCCAUUGUAUCUUUGUGACUAAUAAAAACCCAUUUUGGCACAUAAAAUCAUUAUAUGAUCAGAAAGAAUCACUCUAGUCACGACUAGUUUUGAUUCUGGAAAAAGUGAUAUACAGUCAGAUCAGUCAAUGGAAAUGUAUGAUCUCAAGUAAGAAACCUAAAUCCUCAACAAGCAUGCAACAAGAAGUUAUACUGCACAGUCAAUACAGUGUGCACAGGCACAUUUUCAGUUGUAUCAUUACUUGCUUUUUUUGAUGUAGCUGGUUCUUGAUUUUUGCAUGCUGUUUUAUUUUUCAGCUUUUAUACAGUAGCUGCUCUUGCUCCAUAGCCAAAAAUGUGACCCUAGGCCUAGAAUUGGGCUGAAACAUUUUCAUUUUCACAUUGUAACCAUAUCCUGUUGACAUUGACGUGUUAAUAUAUUCCGCUUGCCUAAUGCAAACGUCCAUUCAUUUGCAUUUAAUUGCAACACGUGAUCAUCCUCUUCUGACGUGGUCAAAACACGGUGCCGAAUUUAAGAGUGGUAUUGCUAGGGAACCCUAAAUGAGCUGUAAUCGCACAUCUUUGGCGAACCUCAAAGAUAGUGUUCAAGAAAACAGCUUUGCUGGAGAAAUCAGAUGUCAAAAGGAAAAUGACAAGCCAAUCCAACCCCAUAUUUCCUGGCUCCUGUCUGCGGGCAAUCAUGGGCCGGUACUUGCAUUCAUCUUGCGUUAAUCUGUGACUGGCUACGCAUGCUGCACAGGAAAACAAAGC
This is a long non-coding RNA of Anguilla rostrata (American eel), 2052 nucleotides long. RefSeq lists it as uncharacterized. The transcript has 2 exons. The record is from RefSeq and is a predicted model, not a curated record. NCBI's taxonomy places the organism in Eukaryota, Metazoa, Chordata, Actinopteri, Anguilliformes, Anguillidae.